AAAAAGAAAAAACCAAGAAAGAAAAAAAACUGCAAAUCACCUUUCAAAUAUUUUUUGUUUGUAUUGAUAUUCUCUCUGUGUGUGUAAAGGAAAAAAGAACCCCUUUACAGUGUUGGAAUCGGUCUUAUUUAACCGAAUCGAAAAGAAAAUAAAAAUAAAUAAAAAAACCCAAAAUCUCUUCUGCUAUUUUUGUUAUUUCCUUUCUU
RNAcentral lists this long non-coding RNA (206 nucleotides) under Gossypium raimondii (Peruvian cotton). Its description in RNAcentral is "long non-coding RNA (GRAI_LNC009944)". Lineage: Eukaryota; Viridiplantae; Streptophyta; Magnoliopsida; Malvales; Malvaceae. The record is from RNAcentral.